This is a long non-coding RNA of Melanotaenia boesemani (Boeseman's rainbowfish), 154 nucleotides long. RefSeq lists it as uncharacterized. The transcript has 3 exons. The record is from RefSeq and is a predicted model, not a curated record. NCBI's taxonomy places the organism in Eukaryota, Metazoa, Chordata, Actinopteri, Atheriniformes, Melanotaeniidae.
AGGUAUGUGGGUAAAUCAAAGCAGAGACCUUUUCUUUUACUUAAAGAUGUAUGUUAAAUGUUUAUUGUCUGCACCUUGGGUCUGAGUGAAAAGCAAUUUCGAUCCUCUGUAUGUCUUGUACAUACUGCAGAAUUGACAAAUAAAGUGACUUUGA